Stegostoma tigrinum is the source of this 3010-nucleotide long non-coding RNA. RefSeq lists it as uncharacterized. The transcript has 4 exons. Lineage: Eukaryota; Metazoa; Chordata; Chondrichthyes; Orectolobiformes; Stegostomatidae. The record is from RefSeq and is a predicted model, not a curated record.
GGGCGGGGAGAGAGAGGCCUUUCUCGGGCUGUGUGUGGGCCUGCUGAGGGAGACGCAGCGGCAAGAAGCUGCUGCUGGGGGUCAGGCUUGUAGCUUUUAGUCUUCUAAACACUGAUGGAAAUUCAUUGUUUGGCUGCUGUUUCACGCUGUUAGUUGCGAGUUUGCAUUGAACCGUGAAUAAAACAAAGCAGUGUGUGCAAACGGGCUCAUCCCGCGAAGGAGAAACAUAGCAGUCACCGGAUUAAGAGUUUCCAGCAAAAUAUUUGAAAUCGUGCCUGUUGUGCUUCCCUUCAAUAGUUCGUGUAUUGGGAGCUGGAUAUUGAACCGUGCAAUUAUCUGAUGUGCCAAGACAAUGUCACGUUUCCGUGGUGCAACACCAAGUGUGACUAGCUGCUCCUACUAACAGCAGGACUGAAACUCCAGACCUAGGACAAAGACUCGGGGCAGGCAGAAUUCAGGCCCAUCGCAGUAUUUCGUCAACCAUUCACCGGAUCAUGCGGGGAGAGGGCCACAGCCACCCCUCUUGAAGAUGCAGUUACAUCAUUAAUCUUUAUCUCAGAUUGGAAAGAGAGAUUGAUGACACUCUGAUUCUCACAGUGGAAUACACUAUUAUACGUUUUGUUACAGUGAUCCAAUGCAACUGGAUCACUGUGCCUUUCCCCUUAUCCUAUACAACCAAUCCUUUGAAACUCCUAACUGAAGCUGGACCCUCUAUUAGCCAGGCCAAGGUUCACCACAAUGUCUGUUAAACAUUAUCAGACAGUGUAAUCACCAGGCCAUGGGAUCUUUCCAUACAUCUAUCAAUUCGCUUUAAAAAGUUACUGGCCGUACACCUUCAGUCAUGCCCCAGAAUCGCUUACCUAUCAGGCUAGCUUGAAUUCUGCUGUCAAUUGUAUUAAUUUUGUGUCUCUAUUAAAUUCUGUUACUCCUCUUAUUUUCCCACUGUCUGAAUUAUAAUAAAACAGACAGUUGACUCCUACUAGGAGGCCAGGCCGCAUCAGAGUAGCAAGAAAGUUGAUGCUUCUGAAGAAGAAUCCUGACCCACAACUUAAACUUUCCUGCACCUCUGAUGCUGCCUGGCCUGCUGUGUUCCUCCAGCUCCACAUUGUGUUAUCUCUAACUGCAGCAUUGGCAGGGCUUACUAUUGCUGAGUUUAUUCUUACAAGUUGCUAUAAGAUUCAUGAUAUUAAUUGUAUUAUAAAGUGAGUUAUAUGUAACGCUUUAUGCAUACCCAUACUCUUAGCUCUGUUAUAGCUAAUGAAUUGUGAGCCAUUUGCUUCUUACAGGAUGCACCAGGCAUUCCUUUAGUGACAUAGGAAACCUUCUGGAGACGAAUUUAACUUUCAUACCCAUGUUUGAAUCUUCUCCCCUGAUGCUUUUAGUGAUAUUUGUAUUUUAUUUUAUAUAUAUAGAUUUAGAAUUACAUUGAAAUCUAUCUGAAGGAUCUUUAACUGGAACCAAUUUCUUAAUAUUGUGAAUAUUGCUGCAAGAUGGAGUUAUCUGCUGUUUUCAUGAUGAGCUAGGCCAGCUGUCUUUGGGAUGAUUGACACCCCUUGUCCUAACUAACUAUAUUCAUCUAAUGGGACAACAUCCUUUCAUUAAAGGGACUGAAAUCAAUUGCUUAUCAAUUUUAAUGAACUUGUUUGAUUCUGUAGAUUUUUUUUAUGAGCCAUAAUCCCAUGAGUUCAACUGUUUGUUUAUUGCAGAACUUACUGUCCCCUUCAAUCUUUGUUGCAAACCUUCAAACUGUCUCCAACAAAUCUUGCAGCUGUUGUUUGUGCAAUGCUCCCUUUUGCCUCGGAAUAACCUCUUCUCAAAAGUACCAUUGUGUCUUUGUUAAAUGCUGGAGCAGGCUUUUUUCAUUCGUUCUGUUUAACCACGUGUCAGUCAUAUGCAGCAGGGCUAGAGGAACAGCUUAGCUGCCAGCCAUUCGGUGUCUCUUAGACUUGGGCAGCCCGAACAUUGCUCAUUCAAUUCUGAGAGAGCUGGAGACAGGGAGUUAUUAACAUGACCUGGGAAAGAGCUCUAUUAUCGCUCCACAAAGGGCCGAUGCCUCAGCUUGAAGCAUUAUCUGCCCUUUUCCCCACAGCCGCAGUUGCUUUCUUCACAGUGGGAGAGAAGGGAAUUAGGGAAUGACCCAUUGAUGUUUGUUGUUGGGAAUUAUUGGGAAAAGCAGUCCAUGCCAUUGGUGGCCCUGCCCCAAAUGCUGCUUGUUUGGCUACUGUUUCACACUGUUUAUCGUCAUUGUGCAAAGAAUAGUGGAAACACAGGCAAGAUGGUGGAAAUAUAAGAAUCCUGUAAAGGACGCAGAUUGGAGUCAACAGAUUAUAUGUCUCGAGCAAAAACAUUCGAAAUAGUGUCUGUUGUUCUUCUUUACAACAGUUAGUGUGUUGGGAUCUGGUGACACAAACUGUGUCAAUAUUACAGCAUCCUCAGGUAGCACCUUUAGAUGCAGCUGUGCAAUUGUUCAGUUUCUGGACCUCGCUGAGUUAGACCUGUGUUUGAAUUGAUGGCUUCAAAGAAAAGGCAGAAGUCUCAUGAUUUGUGUUAUAGUCCAAUAGGUUUAUUUUAAAAUCUCAAGCUUUUGGAGCUCUGCUACAUUGUCAGGUGAAGUUGAAGAAAAGAAACAUCCUAAUAAUUAUCAACUGAAUGUACGUUAAUCUGUUUGAGAUUGUCAAACUUGGCUGAUGCUGAUUUACAGAAUGUUUCUCUUCUGUUUUCAUCCAGGCAAAUACAUGAAGGACCAAGACAGUGUAUCAUUUCUUUGGUGCAAAGCCAAGUGUGAGCAGCUGCUUCUCACAAACAGCAGACAAACACUUGAAGGAACAAGACAAUGUAUCAUUUCUUCAGUACAAAGCUCCUCCUAACAAACAGCAGAUAUGUUCCCACUAUCACAGCAUGAGAACAUCCUUUCCCCAGUCACGGAGCAGAUUGAAUCAGACACACGUUGAGCUUUAAUUUCCAGUCAGACACGUCAAAGCCGACAAUAAAACAAGACAGAGGAAUGCCA